Molecule: ribosomal RNA, 433 nt
Filed under: uncultured bacterium
Lineage: Bacteria
Description: partial 16S ribosomal RNA
Rfam family: Bacterial small subunit ribosomal RNA
Source: RNAcentral
AACGAACGCUGGCGGCAGGCCUAACACAUGCAAGUCGAGCGCACCCUUCGGGGUGAGCGGCGGACGGGUGAGUAACGCGCGGGAACGUGCCCUUCUCUGCGGAAUAGCCUCGGGAAACUGAGAGUAAUACCGCAUACGCCCUUUGGGGGAAAGAUUUAUCGGAGAAGGAUCGGCCCGCGUUGGAUUAGGUAGUUGGUGGGGUAAUGGCCCACCAAGCCGACGAUCCAUAGCUGGUUUGAGAGGAUGAUCAGCCACACUGGGACUGAGACACGGCCCAGACUCCUACGGGAGGCAGCAGUGGGGAAUCUUAGACAAUGGGGGCAACCCUGAUCUAGCCAUGCCGCGUGAGUGAUGAAGGCCUUAGGGUUGUAAAGCUCUUUCAGCUGGGAAGAUAAUGACGGUACCAGCAGAAGAAGCCCCGGCUAACUCCGUG